UUAUUUUAAGCGCCUGGACGUAUAUAUUCUAAUACGUUGACGAGGAAGAAACCUAUCGAAAGAUUCGGCGGGUGGUUUCUUGGCAAUGGUUACUGCCAUAAAUAUUAGCAAAACCUGAUAGUAAUAUCAGAAUACAAAUCUAAU
RNAcentral lists this non-coding RNA (144 nucleotides) under chicken gut metagenome. RNAcentral describes it as "glmS glucosamine-6-phosphate activated ribozyme". It matches the Rfam family "glmS glucosamine-6-phosphate activated ribozyme aptamer". From Rfam's summary of the family: This entry contains a glucosamine-6-phosphate activated ribozyme that is found in the mRNA for GlmS. GlmS is an enzyme that uses fructose-6-phosphate and glutamine to generate glucosamine-6-phosphate. The ribozyme catalyses self cleavage of the glmS mRNA that is thought to regulate GlmS activity. The record is from RNAcentral.